This 824-nucleotide ribosomal RNA is filed under the name Triticum aestivum (bread wheat). Its description in RNAcentral is "partial small subunit ribosomal RNA". Lineage: Eukaryota; Viridiplantae; Streptophyta; Magnoliopsida; Poales; Poaceae. The record is from RNAcentral.
GGGACGGACGAGUGCGCCAGGCCAAGAACGUGGCCGAUCUCGUGCGUGGCCACCGACUCGAGGUCCACGGCGCCGGCGUCCGCGUCGGCCAUGUCUCCGACGGCCCAGCGCUCGGCGGCGUCGAGGUGCAGCUGGCCGCUGGGCGGGGAGAAGGCGUGGCCGAGCACGCCGAGGGGCCCGUCGAAGGGCUCGCCGUCGCCGUGGUCGCCGGCGAGGAACCCCACGCGCACGUCCGCCAUGUUGUAGUCGCGCGUCUCGCGGAACCGCACCGGGAUGACGCGCGCCCAGCGCGCGAAGGCGCGGCGGAAGGCCCUGCGCACGGCCUUGCGCGGGAGGGGGAGCGGCUGGUAGGGCGGCGAGGAGGAGACGACGGCGUAGGUGAGCAGGAAGUGGCCCGGCUGGCGCGCCCAGCGCGGCUGGCCCUCGAAGAAGGCGAAGCGGGCGGUGGCGUUCGGUUGGAGGUGCAGGUCCGGGACGCCGCAGCGCGGGGUGGCGAGGAGGUCGAGGGUGCGGUUGUCGAGGCGGCCGGUGACGGGGAGGCCGAGGGUGGACUGGUAGAGCCUCACCACGAGCUGGCCGUCGGCGUCGUCAGGGACGGACGCGUAGCCGAAGCGCGCCAGGUAGCGCCUGAGGCCGUCGGUGACGUCGCCGGCCUGGACCUGGAGCAUGUCGGCGAGCGAGGUGGAAUAGUUGGCGCCGGCAUGGAAAAGGAGGUGCCGGGAGCAGCAGCGGCAGCAUGGAGGGAACAGGAGGAGGAGGAGGAGGAAGAGGAAGGGGAGAGGGGAGGAGGAGGACAUGGGCGCGCGCGCAUGCUAUGCGUGUAU